AUGCUUGUCUAUCGAGCAGACGAUGGAGGGGACAGCAGAAGUAAAGGCUUCCAGGAAUGUGUGCAGCGCAUGCGAGGGUGGGAGGAAGCCCGCUUCUCUCUGGACCACGCGUCUUCGCCUGCAGCCCAGCUGGGCCCGAGCCUGACAGAUGGGGAAACCGAGCUUCCACAGCCCGGCCCAGAGGGUCAGGGCUCCAGCAACCACCCACACCUGAGCGUGAGUGGGUGUCCCCGGUCUGUCCACUUGGUGACCCCUAGGCCUGGAGGCAGAGCCAGGCCAGGGCUGAGCCUGGGGUGGGCCCAGGUUGGGUCGGGCCCAGCGCAGCCUCUGGCCAGGCCUGGCUCCCUGCAGGGCACUGGGUUGCACAACCACCCACCCCCGGCUUUGACCGGGGUGGUGACACACUCUAGGAGCCACCCUUUGACCAUGCGCCUGGUCACACCACGGGGCCCUGGUCAGUGGCGACACGCCCCUGCUCAGCCUGACUUGCAUUCUGCUCCCUGUGCUGCCGUUUCCUGGCUGUGUGACUCUGGGCAAGUCACUUCCCCUCGCUGAGCCUCAAUUUCCUCUUUGGGAAGACGAGAUAAUAAUAGUCCGUGGUCUCCUGGCUGUUGGGGGAAUGUGCUGUGUCCCUGCAACACCAGCCCUCUGGCUCUUCCUCAAAAUGACCCAGGUGCUUGCCACCCCAGGGCCUUUGCACGUACCAUGUCCUCUGCCCAGAGCACUUGGCCGAGGCCAGCUUGCUCUCAUACCUCCUCUAGGGCUCUGUUCAACAUCAUGGCCAGGGAGGCCCUGGCCCCCGCACCCCUCCUCGCUGCACUGGUCUCUGUAGUCCUUGCUACUGCCUGAUGCACCGUGAUUUUCCUUACUGCUGAUCCUUCCAGGAUGGAGGCUCCAGUUUUGACUCUGUCAUGAUUGCGUCUCUUGCCUGCAACAGUGUAGUUGGCACAAGAAGGUGCUCCGGAAAGAACUGUGACGUGAGUGAAUAAGUGAGUGAAUGAACAAGAAUUGCCUGUACCAGGUCCUGCACUUAGUACGUACUUGAUACCCAGCCAGUGUGUCUGUGGUGCUGGGGACUGCAGCGGGGCUGCCGCUGAGUUACAUCCUCAGGCCCCUUUUAAUUUUUUUUUUUCACAUUUUGAGACAGGGUCUCACUAAGUCACCAGGUUGCCCAGGCUGGACUUGUGAUCCUCCUGCCUCAGCCUCCCUGUGUGCUGGGAUUGCGGCAGGCAGCGGCUCGCCCGGCCUCCAGGCACCGGUGUCGCUGUUGGCAGCCGCUUUCUAGUGCCCGUUAGCCUGGCACGAGGCUCACACCCGACACUCACCAGCCGGUGCCCUGGCCUUCUCUGCCGCCCACUCUGGCCCGGCUCCCAGCGCCUGCACAGCCUCAGCCUGGGGUCAGGAUGACCUCGCUCCCUCCGGCCUGCAGGGCAGCUCCCCCAGGCCCUGCCUCGGGCUCCUCUUCCGUCUAGGGCAGAGGCUUCUGGGAAGCGGCAGCAAAACCUGGCAGCUCCCCUGGCCCAGCUCACGCGGCUCCCGUGCCCUUCCUCAGACCUUGGCUGAUGUGACCCCGUUACCACACAGACGGGGACCUGUGAUCUGGUGGGGGCAGAAUGUCUGACUUCUGGCAGUCGGGGCUCCUGCAGAGUUCAGACCCCGAAUCCAGGACUCUGCUUUCUUGUUGUUUUUGGAACAGGGCUGGGUUUCGGGCACCUGUUUGCGGGGUGCCACAAUCGAGCCCUAACACAGGCUUUGGAGCUGGGUUCGAAUCUGUCUCUACCUUGCUGGCUGUCUGAGCUGAGUCCUGUCCCUGACCCCCCCUGGCCUCAGUUUCCUCUUCUGUAGAAUGGUCUGCUGGUUGCUCUCAGCUGCGGGACGUUUGGGAGGCCCAGACCGACAUCCUGCGGGCCCCUGCUGCCCCCAGCCCCGGCCGGCCAGCUGUGUGCCUCUGGACCCGGGUACCCGGCCUCUCCAGGCCCUCCUGGCCACCUCCCCGCCGCCGUGCCACCGCCCCGACACCGCCUGCUGUUCUUGUUCUGCUUCAUGACGUCUCUGUCCCCCUCCUGGCCCCGCUUCUCCAGAACCAGCUUGUUUUUGUUUUCUGUUUUUACGGCUCCAUAAAUGAGUCACGGGCCUGAUUUGAUUUAAUUUUGUUGUAAUUGUUAUCUUUUCGAGCUUGUUUUUUUCCACCGGUUACUCACAAGACCACAAAACCUAAACAGGACGGGGCCUUCCCUGACCAGGCCCCUGCUCCUCGGGGACGGGGACCAGCGUCCUCGCUCCUGGAGAGCCGGGGGCGGGGUGGCUGCUGGGGUGAGGCCAGGCGAGUUCCUGCCGCCUCCGUCCUGCAGCCCUUUCCCCAGAGUCCUGAAAACCUCGGACCCCCUGUGCCAGGAGGUGGCUGAGGGACCCGGGUGAGCUGCAGAGAGCCAGCCUGCCCUGGGACGGUCGCUGCUCAGCCAGCUCGUGGCCCAGAUCCUUCCACUUCUUAGCAGAAGCCAGCAUCUGAGGUCGUCCGCAGAGUCCUGAUGCACAAAUGCUGGCCAAGAAAUCAGAUGAAAAGCAAAUAAACAAAACCCCGCUCCACGGCUUUGUGUGGCCCUCGGCCUCUCUGGUUUUGAAGGUUCUGGGCGGGCUGGCCUUGCCCACCCUGCACACUCGGGGCCCUUCCCUCCCUGGGGAAGUCUGUCCUCCUCUGCCUCGGUGGUGCCCGGCCUCGGGGCACUGGCUUCUCCUGUCCUCCUGUGGCUGCCCGGGUCACCGUGUUAGGGACCAACAUUUUAGCCAUUCCCCCAGUGACUCUGGCCCGCGUGGAUGGGCAGCGGCUUCGGUGCCUGUAUUUUUCGUACCUGGUUCU
Molecule: long non-coding RNA, 2857 nt
Organism: Cavia porcellus (domestic guinea pig)
Lineage: Eukaryota; Metazoa; Chordata; Mammalia; Rodentia; Caviidae
Source: Ensembl